Molecule: small RNA, 527 nt
Filed under: Pongo abelii (Sumatran orangutan)
Lineage: Eukaryota; Metazoa; Chordata; Mammalia; Primates; Hominidae
Description: retained intron
Source: RNAcentral
GGGAUUUUUGGAAGUUUGUGGCGGAGGUGAGGCCGAGGUGACUGCAGAGCGGCUCGCGAGUUCUGUGAUAUGAGCAACAAUGGACCAGAAGAUUUUAUCUCUAGCAGCAGAAAAAACAGCAGACAAACUGCAAGAAUUUCUUCAAACCCUGAGAGAAGGUGAUUUGACUAAUCUCCUUCAGAAUCAAGCAGUGAAAGGAAAAGUUGCUGGAGCACUCCUGAGAGCCAUCUUCAAAGGUAAUAAUAAUUAAUGUCACUUCUGUCUGUCUCCUGCAUUCAUUGGUAGAUUUGUUUAGUUUUGGUACUUUUCUUACUGUUUGAAGCCCCACUGGAACAUUUUCCAUGUUUUGAGGAUUCUACAGAUCAACUGCAGCAGCAGUUUCCUGUCUAGUGGACUUAAGUAAUUUUACUGAAGGGAGUUUGAAGUGGCUACCUGAGAUUGUGUUGCUUAUUUGGGGGCCUGGAAUUACAGAAUGUGCUUUUCGUAAAAUCUGCUUUGGUUUACUUGUGCUUUUAAGAUUGUGGAGA